This 280-nucleotide long non-coding RNA is filed under the name Elaeis guineensis (African oil palm). RNAcentral describes it as "long non-coding RNA (EGUI_LNC052215)". Lineage: Eukaryota; Viridiplantae; Streptophyta; Magnoliopsida; Arecales; Arecaceae. The record is from RNAcentral.
UCAAAGAUAUGCAUAACAAUUCAUAGUAUCACAAAAGAUUUUAUUUUAAUUUCUGAUAACCAUCCACCUUAUGUUCAAAAUAUAUCAUCUUCUAAGAUCUAAAAAAAUACUUAUAAUUGAACCACUAGUUUUCAAUAUUACUUGCACCAUAAUCUCUGGCAAUUAUAAACCCAAGUUCUCAUACCGUUUAAAUCAUAAUCCCAAAUGAUCAUCAACUUAGGCUCUGAUACUAAACAUGUAGCAUCUUGCUUUGAUAUCAAACAUGCAACACCCCACCCUU